This is a transfer RNA of 73 nucleotides. It matches the Rfam family "tRNA". From Rfam's summary of the family: Transfer RNA (tRNA) molecules are approximately 80 nucleotides in length. The record is from Rfam.
GCGCGAAUGGCUCAGUUGGUAGAGCAUCUCCUUGCCAAGGAGAGGGUCGCGGGUUCGAGUCCCGUUUCGCGCU